AAUGAACGCUGGCGGCAUGCCUUACACAUGCAAGUCGAACGGCAGCAUGACCUAGAUUGCUAGGUUGAUGGCGAGUGGCGCACGGGUGAGUAAUGCAUCGGAACGUGCCUUUUAGUGGGGGAUAACGUAGCGAAAGUUACGCUAAUACCGCAUAUUCUCUGAGGAGGAAAGCAGGGGACCUUCGGGCCUUGCGCUAGAAGAGCGGCCGAUGUCGGAUUAGCUAGUUGGUGAGGUAAAGGCUCACCAAGGCAACGAUCCGUAGCGGGUCUGAGAGGAUGAUCCGCCACACUGGGACUGAGACACGGCCCAGACUCCUACGGGAGGCAGCAGUGGGGAAUUUUGGACAAUGGGCGCAAGCCUGAUCCAGCCAUGCCGCGUGAGUGAAGAAGGCCUUCGGGUUGUAAAGCUCUUUCGGCUGGGAAGAAAUCGCACCCUCUAAUACAGGGUGUGGAUGACGGUACCAGCAUAAGAAGCACCGGCUAACUACGUG
RNAcentral lists this ribosomal RNA (490 nucleotides) under uncultured bacterium. Its description in RNAcentral is "partial 16S ribosomal RNA". It matches the Rfam family "Bacterial small subunit ribosomal RNA", at positions 29 to 507 of the family's 1533-position model. The record is from RNAcentral.